This is a long non-coding RNA of Oreochromis aureus, 1379 nucleotides long. The record is from Ensembl. Lineage: Eukaryota; Metazoa; Chordata; Actinopteri; Cichliformes; Cichlidae.
UACUGUUUCAAUUUCAGUUUCAAUUAUAUUUUAUCCCCAAUAUAAAUAUCUCUAUGUACUAAAGAAAAGACAAGAAGGAAGAAAGGAAAAGGUGAACCCAGGAUUAAAAUGAGAUCCAACAUCUGUAAAAUCCCAAAUGCCUCCUUUUUGCCAGAUGGUGAGCUCUGGUCUGGGCGUGUCCCAAAAAUAUACAAGAGUAUGAAUAAUGCAUCGGAUAUGACUUAUUUCACAGUGUAUCUCUGGAUGUUCCUACCCACUCACGCAUACAGAAAAGCAUACACACACAAGCACACGUGUACUCACAUAUUCACACACAGACAGAUGCAAACAUGCACCCACACCCGUGCGCCCACGCACACAUACACACACACACAGUAUAGAUCAUUAAAACAAGCCAGGGGUCCACAUCUGCUAAAUGCUCCCGGUUGUGUAUACAAGAUGUGUGAGGUUCAUUGACAAAAACUACUUUUCUAGUCUAUGUUGGCACCACAUAAAAAAACCAAACAACAUAAGGUAUAAGCUAAGUCAUCCAAAAUGUCCACAUUUCACCAUCACGAUCUCCAUUCAGUGAGCAAAGACAGUCAACUCAUUUGUCGUCUCUUCUGUGACUUUCAUGCUAUUUCAUAAUGUCCGUCCCGUUAUGUGUAUGCAGGGACAUUGGCGGCUAUGGCCUUGUAAAAAUCUCACCCGGCCAAAUGACAGAAAGGUGUUAAAAGCUAGAAUCCAAUGGACAAUAUGGCCUGCCUCAACCUCUGUAAAGUCACGACUCGAGCAAUGAACUGUCAUUAAAGAAACUUGGCUGGAAUAUAACCUUGGAUUGCUUCAUGGCGGCGAUUGUAAAGAAGAUGAAGGGGCUGACUUUUGAAAGGCCUUGUGACAAGUCUAAAUCAAGCCACAAAGGUAUAAAAAGAAUCUUCAAGGAGCUGUCCCCUGCAGAUUGGGCAGUGGCAGACAAAAAGAGAAAAAAAAGAAAGGCCUUCAGUGAAUUUUCCACUGGUUGUUCUGGGGUUUCUCACAGGGAUUUUGUUCCAUGAUUAGUCCAUGAAGUUGGGUGUGAUGAACGUUCAAUGCUGAUGUUGUUACCAUGCUGCCCUCGUGGAGUUUUCAGACGUGUCAGGUCUCUCACUGCGGUGACUGGAGAUGUUGUGGGUUAUUUUAUCUUUUAUUUUUUAUUAUUGAAGGUCAGAGCCGAUGUAAGUUUUGGGAGCCUCAUUGGUGAAUGGACAACAUAUCUUGGGUGUAAUGACUGGCCUCGGUUUCUUUAGUAACAUAGAUGUCAAUGAACCUGCAGCAGAAAAAAGAAAGACAAAGACAAGCGUGAGACACUAAUUGUGAAGUUAGAUCGUUUCAGACAUGCGCCUUGUUAUGCAAAUGUGCAG